UUCCCUGUGGCUGAGUUGGUAGAGCAUGGCGUUUGCAACGCCAGGGUUGUGGGUUCGAUUCCCACGGGGGAGC
Molecule: transfer RNA, 73 nt
Filed under: Salmo salar (Atlantic salmon)
Lineage: Eukaryota; Metazoa; Chordata; Actinopteri; Salmoniformes; Salmonidae
Rfam family: tRNA
About the family: Transfer RNA (tRNA) molecules are approximately 80 nucleotides in length.
Source: Rfam by way of RNAcentral